AGGAUCAUUGUCGAAAUCUGCAAAGCAGAAUGACCUGCGAACAAGUGAUAAAUCACGGUUGAAGAGGAGGGCACCACGGUCGCCUUCUCCUUUCAACUGACCAUUGGAGGCGGCUGGGCAUUGUGCCCUCCCCGUACCUCUCAUGGUCCCCAAUCAACAUACCUCAGCGCGGAUUGCGCCAAGGAAAACAAACUGAAGGUACGCUGCCCCUUGCACCGUAAAUGGCUGCGCGUGUGGCUUGCGUAUUUCCGAUCAAUCUAAUGUUACAACGACUCUCGGCAACGGAUAUCUUGGCUCUCGCAUCGAUGAAGAACGUAGCAAAAUGCGAUAGCUGGUGUGAAUUGCAGAAUCCCGUGAACCAUCGAGUCUUUGAACGCAAGUUGCGCCUGAAGCCGUCAGGCCGAGGGCACGCCUGCCUGGGUGUCACCCUCUCCCUUGCCCAAACACACGCCUCCUCCCACCGAAAAAUGGGAUGAGUGAUUUGGGCGGAUAAAUGGCCUCCCGUGGAGAAUGUUUUCGUGGUUGGCCCAAAAUUAGCACUUGGCUCUUAGGAAGCCACGACAAGCAUUGGCGAAAUACUUCGGUGAUCGUUGUUGUCGUGCUAGACUUUGUAGCGUGCUGUAGAAUACCUCGGUGCUUGCAUCCUAAGAUUGCGACCCCAG
RNAcentral lists this ribosomal RNA (662 nucleotides) under Parnassia laxmannii. Its description in RNAcentral is "eukaryotic LSU rRNA". The stretch from base 271 to 426 matches the Rfam family "5.8S ribosomal RNA". The record is from RNAcentral. Lineage: Eukaryota; Viridiplantae; Streptophyta; Magnoliopsida; Celastrales; Celastraceae.